AUUGGACGCUGGCGGCAGGCCUAACACAUGCAAGUCGAACGGUAACAGGAAGAAGCUUGCUUCUUUGCUGACGAGUGGCGGACGGGUGAGUAAUGUCUGGGAAACUGCCUGAUGGAGGGGGAUAACUACUGGAAACGGUAGCUAAUACCGCAUAACGUCGCAAGACCAAAGAGGGGGACCUUCGGGCCUCUUGCCAUCGUAUGUGCCCAGAUGGGAUUAGCUAGUAGGUGGGGUAACGGCUCACCUAGGCGACGAUCCCUAGCUGGUCUGAGAGGAUGACCAGCCACACUGGAACUGAGACACGGUCCAGACUCCUACGGGAGGCAGCAGUGGGGAAUAUUGCACAAUGGGCGCAAGCCUGAUGCAGCCAUGCCGCGUGUAUGAAGAAGGCCUUCGGGUUGUAAAGUACUUUCAGCGGGGAGGAAGGGAGUAAAGUUAAUACCUUUGCUCAUUGACGUUACCCGCAGAAGAAGCACCGGCUAACUCCGUG
RNAcentral lists this ribosomal RNA (490 nucleotides) under uncultured bacterium. RNAcentral's name for it is "partial 16S ribosomal RNA". It matches the Rfam family "Bacterial small subunit ribosomal RNA", at positions 30 to 507 of the family's 1533-position model. The record is from RNAcentral.